This 119-nucleotide ribosomal RNA is filed under the name Oryza brachyantha (malo sina). The record is from RNAcentral. Lineage: Eukaryota; Viridiplantae; Streptophyta; Magnoliopsida; Poales; Poaceae.
GGAUGCGAUCAUACCAGCACUAAAGCACCGGAUCCCAUCAGAACUCCGAAGUUAAGCUUGCUUGGGCGAGAGUAGUACUAGGAUGGGUGACCUCCUGGGAAGUCCUCGUGUUGCAUCCC